Molecule: non-coding RNA, 959 nt
Organism: Misgurnus anguillicaudatus (oriental weatherfish)
Lineage: Eukaryota; Metazoa; Chordata; Actinopteri; Cypriniformes; Cobitidae
Source: RefSeq, a predicted model, not a curated record
CUGCAUUCCCCUACUACAUAUAGAAGCACGCUGCUGUUUUGUUCCUGCUGGAUUUGCUUUCGUUUCUUUUUCUUUAUAUUUUUGCUGUGUUUUCAUUUUGUCCUGGGUGAUUUAGCGCGGCCCGAUUUUGGAGUUGUUGGUUAAAACCUGCUCCUACUGUGACUGUAUUUAAAGAUCUUUUCCUCGUACGUUGGGAAAUAACGAGUUCGAGGGCCGCGCUCAUUCAGAUUAUCUAUUUCUUUAUUUUCCCUUUGUGGUGUUUCUCAUUUUGGACUGAUUCAGAAUGCUGAGAUUUUCUCUUGGACAUUGUUGUCUUUAAAUUUCUUUUCCUUUUCCUUUUGUGUUAUUAUCUAGCUGUUUAAGCUAGAAUUUAUUUCUUUUCUUUAUGUUGGAAGGGUUUCUUUUGCUCCCCUGCAUUUAAUAAGUUUUCAUUGAUUAAUUUCUAUUGAUUUGAUUUAUUUUGUUUUGUAUCACAAUUACAGGAGCUGUGUGUCCGACGGCAGUGAGGCUUUCCUUCACCGUGUGCUGUGUUAUGCUGUGUGAGCACCACUGAUAAAAUCACGGGAACAAGACAGCAGCGUGGUCUCUUUGGCCAUCUCCCCUGAUUGUGUUUCAGGUCCAAAUUUUCUUUCUGCCCCGCCUUGCUUGGUGGAGCUGUGUGUCCGACGGCAGUGAGGCUUUCCUUCACCGUGUGCUGUGUUAUGCUGUGUGAGCACCACUGAUAAAAUCACGGGUAUUGGAGUGAGUGUGUGUGUGUGUGUGUGUGCGUGUGUGCACUUAGUGUGAUUCUCCUCUUUUGCUCCCUCUCUUAGCCCAUCUGAUGCCAAUAGGCUACAGCUCUGAAUUAACUGUGAAUCCUUAUUGUGGAUUGUGAUUUCCAGCUUUAGUAAUUGGCUGGGUGACUACUUUUAUUUCUGCAUUUUAAACUUUUGUACAAAUAAACAAAUUCUAUUUUGCUA